Molecule: ribosomal RNA, 154 nt
Filed under: uncultured bacterium
Lineage: Bacteria
Description: partial 16S ribosomal RNA
Rfam family: Bacterial small subunit ribosomal RNA
Source: RNAcentral
GAUUUGGACAAUGGGCGAAAGCCUGAUCCAGCCAUGCCGCGUGUGUGAAGAAGGUCUUCGGAUUGUAAAGCACUUUAAGUUGGGAGGAAGGGCAGUUGCCUAAUACGUGAUUGUUUUGACGUUACCGACAGAAUAAGCACCGGCUAACUCUGUG